This 253-nucleotide ribosomal RNA is filed under the name uncultured bacterium. RNAcentral describes it as "partial 16S ribosomal RNA". It matches the Rfam family "Bacterial small subunit ribosomal RNA", at positions 524 to 776 of the family's 1533-position model. The record is from RNAcentral.
UACGUAGGGCGCGAGCGUUGUCCGGAAUUAUUGGGCGUAAAGAGCUCGUAGGCGGCCUGUUGCGUCCGCUGUGAAAUCCCAGGGCUCAACCCUGGGCGUGCAGUGGAUACGGGCAGGCUGGAGGCAGGCAGGGGAGAACGGAAUUCCCGGUGUAGCGGUGAAAUGCGCAGAUAUCAGGAGGAACACCGGUGGCGAAGGCGGGUCUCUGGGCCGAUAUUGACGCUGAGGAGCGAAAGCGUGGGGAGCGAACAGG